GUGCAUGUCCCUGCUGAGUCAUCUUGUCCCCGAAUUUCUGUUUUGUUUUGUUUAAGACAGGUCCUUACCAUGUACCACUGGCUGGCCGGGAAGUCACUAUGUAGAUGGACUGGCCUCAAAUUCAGAGAUCUGCCUGCCUCCACCUCCUGGACACUUCAGUUAAAAGAACUGUCUGUCCCGCCCAUCCCAGAGCAGAAGAAACAUUAUCACACUUUCCCAGAACUUGGGCUCCGCCCUGUGUGGGCGCCAGCGUGUCCCUGGCAUCUACAGCAGUCUGUGGGGUUCAUAUGGUAUUUGGAGAAAAACAAUUGGGAAAAGAUACUAAGGAGGGGGAAGAGAGACGGCGCAGCAGCGAAGAGCUUUUGCAGAGGACCCGAGUUCAUUUCCCAGAACCCACAGGAAUCUCACAACCGACUGAAACUCCAGCCCCAGGGCAUCUGACACCUUUUGCCCUCUGAGGGCAUCCUCGUGUAUGUGACAGACAGACUCACAGCGUGCACACAAUUAAAAACAACUCUUAUAAAACAAAUAAAUAAAGAAAUGAUAUAAAAAUAGUUG
Apodemus sylvaticus (European woodmouse) is the source of this 558-nucleotide long non-coding RNA. RefSeq lists it as uncharacterized. The record is from RefSeq and is a predicted model, not a curated record. The transcript has 3 exons. NCBI's taxonomy places the organism in Eukaryota, Metazoa, Chordata, Mammalia, Rodentia, Muridae.